Molecule: transfer RNA, 67 nt
Filed under: Dolichosciara megumiae
Lineage: Eukaryota; Metazoa; Arthropoda; Insecta; Diptera; Sciaridae
Description: tRNA-Trp
Source: RNAcentral
UAAAUUUUAAGUUAAUUAAACUAAUAGCCUUCAAAGCCAUAAAUAUGAAAAAUUUUCUUAAAUUUAA